GACGAACCACACGAACGUUAUUCGGAAUUACUGGGCUUAAAGGGUGCGUAGGUGGGCAAGUAAGUCAGUGGUGAAAUCUCCGGGCUUAACCCGGAAACUGCCAUUGAUACUAUUUGUCUUGAAUACUGUGGAGGUCAGCGGAAUAUGUCAUGUAGCGGUGAAAUGCUUAGAUAUGACAUAGAACACCAAUUGCGAAGGCAGCUGGCUACACAAAUAUUGACACUGAGGCACGAAAGCGUGGGGAUCAAACAGG
Molecule: ribosomal RNA, 253 nt
Filed under: uncultured bacterium
Lineage: Bacteria
Description: partial 16S ribosomal RNA
Rfam family: Bacterial small subunit ribosomal RNA
Source: RNAcentral